Molecule: ribosomal RNA, 460 nt
Filed under: uncultured bacterium
Lineage: Bacteria
Description: partial 16S ribosomal RNA
Rfam family: Bacterial small subunit ribosomal RNA
Source: RNAcentral
CCUACGGGUGGCAGCAGUGAGGAAUAUUGGUCAAUGGCCGUGAGUCUGAACCAGCCAAGUCGCGUGACGGAAGAAUGAUCUAUGGUUUGUAAACUUCUUUUAUAUGGGCAUAACAGUAUCCCCGUGUGGAUAUUUGCAUGUACCCUAUGAAUAAGCAUCGGCUAACUCCGUGCCAGCAGCCGCGGUAAUACGGAGUAUGCGAGCGUUAUCCGGAUUUAUUGGGUUUAAAGGGUGCGUAGGUGGUUUUUUAAGUCAGUGGUGAAAGUUUGUGGCUCAACCAUAAAAUUGCAGUUGAAACUGGAAGUCUGGAGUAUAGUAGAGGUAGGCGGAAUGCGUGGUGUAGCGGUGAAAUGCAUAGAUAUCACGAAGAACUCCGAUUGCGAAGGCAGCUUACUAAACCAUAACUGACACUGAGGCACGAAAGCGUGGGGAUCAAACAGGAUUAGAUACCCGUGUAGUC